CCCAAGGGUUGGGCUGUUCGCCCAUUAAAGCGGUACGCGAGCUGGGUUCAGAACGUCGUGAGACAGUUCGGUCCCUAUCCGUCGUGGGCGUAGGAAAUUUGAGAGGAGCUGUCCUUAGUACGAGAGGACCGGGAUGGACAUACCUCUGGUGUACCAGUUGUCGUGCCAACGGCAUAGCUGGGUAGCUAUGUGUGGACGGGAUAAGUGCUGAAAGCAUCUAAGCAUGAAGCCCCCCUCAAGAUGAGAUUUCCCAACUUCGGUUAUAAGAUCCCUCAAAGAUGAUGAGGUUAAUAGGUUCGAGGUGGAAGCAUGGUGACAUGUGGAGCUGACGAAUACUAAUCGAUCGAAGACUUAAUCAAAA
This 361-nucleotide ribosomal RNA is filed under the name Staphylococcus aureus. Its description in RNAcentral is "partial 23S ribosomal RNA". It matches the Rfam family "Bacterial large subunit ribosomal RNA", at positions 2564 to 2925 of the family's 2925-position model. Lineage: Bacteria; Bacillati; Bacillota; Bacilli; Caryophanales; Staphylococcaceae. The record is from RNAcentral.